CAAUAGCGUAUAUUAAAGUUGUUGCGGUUAAAAGCUCGUAGUUGGACUUCUGCUGAGGACGAUUGGUCCGCCCUCUGGGUGAGUAUCUAAUCGGCCUGAGCAUCUUCCUGGAGAGCGUGGUUGCGCUUGAAUGUGUGACGCGGUAUCCAGGACGUUUACUUUGAGGAAAUUCGAGUGUUUUAAGCAGGCGUACGUAUUGAACACAUUAGCAUGGCAUAAUAACAUAAGAUCUCGGUUCCUUGUUUUGUUGGUUUCUUGGAUUGAGGUAAUGAUCGACAGGGAUAGUUGGGGGCAUCUGUAUUUAAUUGCUAGAGGUGAAAUUCUAUUAUUUGUUAAAGACAAACUACUGCGACAGCAUUUGCCAAACAUAUUCUCAUUGAUCAAGAACGAAAGUUAGGGGAUCGAAGACGAUCAGAU
RNAcentral lists this ribosomal RNA (417 nucleotides) under uncultured eukaryote. RNAcentral's name for it is "bacterial SSU rRNA". It matches the Rfam family "Eukaryotic small subunit ribosomal RNA", at positions 592 to 1013 of the family's 1831-position model. The record is from RNAcentral.